Molecule: ribosomal RNA, 581 nt
Filed under: uncultured bacterium
Lineage: Bacteria
Description: bacterial SSU rRNA
Rfam family: Bacterial small subunit ribosomal RNA
Source: RNAcentral
GCAAGUCGAACGGUAACAUUUCUAGCUUGCUAGAAGAUGACGAGUGGCGGACGGGUGAGUAAUGCUUGGGAACUUGCCUUUGCGAGGGGGAUAACAGUUGGAAGCGACUGCUAAUACCGCAUAAUGUCUUCGGACCAAACGGGGCUUCGGCUCCGGCGCAAAGAGAGGCCCAAGUGAGAUUAGCUAGUUGGUAAGGUAACGGCUUACCAAGGCGACGAUCUCUAGCUGUUCUGAGAGGAAGAUCAGCCACACUGGGACUGAGACACGGCCCAGACUCCUACGGGAGGCAGCAGUGGGGAAUAUUGCACAAUGGGGGGAACCCUGAUGCAGCCAUGCCGCGUGUGUGAAGAAGGCCUUCGGGUUGUAAAGCACUUUCAGUUGUGAGGAAAAGUUAGUAGUUAAUACCUGCUAGCCGUGACGUUAACAACAGAAGAAGCACCGGCUAACUCCGUGCCAGCAGCCGCGGUAAUACGGAGGGUGCGAGCGUUAAUCGGAAUUACUGGGCGUAAAGCGCACGCAGGCGGUUUGUUAAGCUAGAUGUGAAAGCCCCGGGCUCAACCUGGGAUGGUCAUUUAGAACUG